ACAGGAAACUGAAUUUGUCAACGGGUAACUCGGCAGUCGGCUACGAAACUUACAUACAAAUUUCGACUAAUAAUUUUAAAAUUGCACUUAUUUCAAUAUUAAUAGGGUUUUAUGACACAAAUUGACGAUUUAAAAGUGUGAAAAUUAAGUGUUAAAGCGUUUUAGCUUACUUGGGGGACCAUAGUUCGCGCUAGCGUCGUCAUGAUCGACCCUUAAUCGGAAGGUUAGCGCCCCCGACAGGAGCGUCUACUGCAAUACGAUGUGUUAGAACUUAGAAUAGUUAAUAUGUUUACUAAGACGUUAUUUAUUUGUUACCGUAACGUAUAUAUUACAGUUCAAGUAUUUGUUUGGUUGAAAGAAGUUUGAAAUAUCUUUAUCCAUUUAUCUAAGUUAAUAUUACUCUAGUAAAAAUGACAAAUAUUAUAAGUUAGUGCACAAGCAUAUAUAAACAUCUAACACACGUGCGUGAAAGCUUCAAUAUAUCAUAGUACCUACUCAUAUAUUAUCUAAUUUCCAAAUAGCACAUACAAACAGGUCAAACUGACAAGAUAACCUUCUUUUGGCGUCGGUUUAUAAAAUAAUAGGCAAGUAGGUACCACGAGUAUGCAAGGCGACGAAAUUAACAUAACAGUUACAAUCACAGCUUGUAAUAAAUGAUUUAAUUUACAGUAAUCGGUAUACUUAACAUGUGUAAAGAAAUGCCCAUUUGAAAUAAUAGUUUGUGAUUGAAUAAAACUUACCUUCAUAUCUUAGAGGCUCUUCAGUUGUUUGGUUUACUUUGUCUUCGUGAAUAAUAUCUUUGCUAUACAGAUACAAAUUCCCGUCGUGUUCAUGAUACACCUUUUUUAUAGUAAAACAAUGUUUUUCAUUAUGUUGGUUGAGUUCUAUUACAGAAGGGUCGAAGAGUAAAAGGCUAUGAGGUCUAUCUUUAUUCCUUAAUUUUUUCUUGGCCGUAUAGCAUUCCUUUUUGCAGUGUGUUUCUAUAAAAACGUCGAAGUUCCUCUCCUCUGUGACAAAAAUCUUUUCCACUAUUACUUUAAAUGGCGAAAUAGUUCUAAAUGAGGCCGGACCUUCGUCUAUAAAGUUAUAAUUUUUCACUUUAGUGUUAAUUCGGCCCCAGGAGGUUUUCCCAUUUCGCAGAUAAACCUCACAAUUUGUAUGUUUGACACCUGUAAAAAUACUUAAGUAUACAUGUUGCCUUAUAUCAAAAGCCUGCCAUAUAAAGGCAAGGAAGUGAAACUACGAUACAUAUAUGGGUUUGUAUUGGGGUCGGAUAGACCCUGCGCAGCGACCUACUGGUCUGUCUGUUGUACUCAACAAUCUACACUCUACAAAGUACAAACAUCCCGAUGAAGAAUUGCGCUAUCGUAGUGCUUCAAGGUACGGAGAACAUAUUAUACAAGAUCUUAUAUCUGGGGCUUUCGAGGCGUCUAGUGGUAAGUUUGUUAAGUUAUAUUUAAACACCGAUAACUUUCGUCCCGCACAUUACAUUUACAUCGCAUUGAAAUAAACACUAAAUGAUGCUUCGAGCUUAGAUUAAUGUUGUUUUUUAACGAUGAAGAAUAUUUAAGAGUUUUUGAGAUUAAUUAAUUUCAUCGCUACAUAGUUUUAUUCAAUAAAUUAUAAACUACCGAACAAAGUUUAGUGUAUUGGAAAACUGCGAAAGUAGUCUUAGCGAUAAGCGUAUAAAGACAAAUUUAAACGGUUGUUUAGGUUGUAUUGUUGCCCGUUUUUGUAAUUAUUUAAUGGACCUGCAAUAUGAUUGUCAAAAUACAUAUAUCGAAAAUUAUGGCUAUAGUAUGGAGGUGGGAUAAAGAGGACUAUAAAUGUUAUUCUGCCAAUGUAUGAAAAGCAUAAUGAUAAAACUAAAAUUCUAUUAAGCUAUCCGCAUAUAGGCUCCUUAAAGAACGUUUUUUCAAACCAUUAUCUCUGGUUCAAAUUCUACUAUUGCAAAUUGAUAUAAUAUAUUGACAUAGGGGAAGAUCGUUACCCUUCGUACGCGGGGCACAUUCAUACAGUCAAAAUAAAACUUGAACGAAACAAAGUACAGUCUAGCUUUUGUAUGUGUGCAUGAGUCGAGGUACCAACUAUACAUCAACGAAGUUUCGUGAAAUUCGCACCGAUUAGAGUGAAGUUACAGGCAUGGACGUGUUUUCGCGCUCGUUAGUGGGGUACAUUCGGACAGCACUAGAUGGGGCACAUUUGAACGAAUUGUACAACUAAAUUUGUAUAAAAAUUUGUCGACGCGAACUGUCAUUUUCAUACAAAUUAAGUUUUCGACUUUCUACAUAUCACACUACUGUUAAGGCAUCUUAUACUAAGGUUGAUUUUGAUGCUGUGAAUAAUUUACCAAUCCAUCAAAUAGUAGUUCCUUCGAAGUCAGUUUUGACACCAGAGGCAUUUCGACCCUAUCCGCAUUUUGUAAGAAGUAAUAAAACAAACAAAAUGACGAUGACGGCCAGGAAAACCACGAAUUUAUACUGCCAAACCCGAAAAUAAGAAGUGCUAAUCCACACCAAAGAGUAAAAAAUGUGAUUCUAAAUUUAAGUUACCUAACUAAUUAAAUUUUGUUUUACAUAAGAAAAGUAUUUUAUUUUUGUUUAAUAGAAGUUAAAUCUUUAUUUUUGUGUUUAAUUUCAUUACUAAUAAAUUAAUUUUGAACUACCCCACAGCGUAAGAAGGUACCCCCAACACUGUACGAAGGUGCCCCGUUGAUGGGGCAGAUUCGUACGUAUUCCAGAUUUAGUUUAAAUUAUAAUUGUGGUUGAAACAUCGGAUGAAAUCAUUUGUCAUUUUUUUAUUUGAAUCUCAGAUAGUUAGACUAUAAAUUUAAGCUAUUAGGUGAUUGAUUCAUGGAAAAAGAAAAAAAUUAAAAAAAUAAAAUGUGAAAACCGUACGAAGGGUCCCCACCUUCCCCUAUAUAAUAUGAAAAUUUUAAUGAUUUCCAAGUUUUUAGUCUGUGGAGAACUUAAUUACUAAACUCAAAACGAGAGUGUAAACUCUGUAUAACGUAAGAAUGAUUACUUCAGCCUUUAUAACGCAACAGCCAUUCUCUAUUACGAAGAAAUAUUUUCAUAUUUAGACAUCAACAACAUACUUAAUUGUACCUAAUUGUUUUU
This is a long non-coding RNA of Pieris napi, 3119 nucleotides long. RefSeq lists it as uncharacterized. Lineage: Eukaryota; Metazoa; Arthropoda; Insecta; Lepidoptera; Pieridae. The record is from RefSeq and is a predicted model, not a curated record. The transcript is spliced from 3 exons.